This 557-nucleotide ribosomal RNA is filed under the name Penicillium oxalicum. RNAcentral describes it as "eukaryotic LSU rRNA". It matches the Rfam family "Eukaryotic large subunit ribosomal RNA", at positions 76 to 648 of the family's 3401-position model. The record is from RNAcentral. Lineage: Eukaryota; Fungi; Ascomycota; Eurotiomycetes; Eurotiales; Aspergillaceae.
UGCCUCAGUAACGGCGAGUGAAGCGGCAAGAGCUCAAAUUUGAAAGCUGGCUCCUUCGGGGUCCGCAUUGUAAUUUGCAGAGGAUGCUUCGGGAGCGGCCCCCAUCUAAGUGCCCUGGAACGGGCCGUCAUAGAGGGUGAAAAUCCCGUCUGGGAUGGGGUGUCCGCGCCCGUGUGAAGCUCCUUCGACGAGUCGAGUUGUUUGGGAAUGCAGCUCUAAAUGGGUGGUAAAUUUCAUCUAAAGCUAAAUAUUGGCCGGAGACCGAUAGCGCACAAGUAGAGUGAUCGAAAGAUGAAAAGCACUUUGAAAAGAGAGUUAAACAGCACGUGAAAUUGUUGAAAGGGAAGCGCUUGCGACCAGACUCGCCCACGGGGUUCAGCCGGCAUUCGUGCCGGUGUACUUCCCCGCGGGCGGGCCAGCGUCGGUUUGGGCGGCCGGUCAAAGGCCCUCGGAAUGUAACGCCCCCCGGGGCGUCUUAUAGCCGAGGGUGCCAUGCGGCCAGCCCAGACCGAGGAACGCGCUUCGGCUCGGACGCUGGCAUAAUGGUCGUAAGCGAC